AAGUAGAUUCUUUGGCAGAUUUGCCAUCAGAACGGAGACUAAUAUCUGUGGCAUCAAAUCUGUUUUCUUUGCUACACAGAGUUUGAAAACUGUUUUUAAGGUUUUAAGGGCUUAUAUGAUACUUUUAGGGUUUGUUUCCUUUAGAUAUCUCCCAUUGGAAGCAGGUUACACAACAGCAUGAAGAAUAUGGAAGCAGAGGCAAAUUUGGGAACAGAAUCCAGUUAAUGACAUCUUGGAGGAACUUAGAAACAGGAAGUGACUCAGGAUUGGGAAGCACCAGAAAAAGCUGCUGACAUGACAUGGUGACAAGCAUUCUUUGUCAAUUGACUUUUUCUCCCGCCCCCUGGAUCCUAAGGAAAUGGCACAGCAUUUCCUUGCCCUGUCCUUGACGUGCUAUGCCUACUCUAAGCUAGAUAGGGGCUUGUGAAAGAAAAACCUAAGGAAGCCCCCUGCUCGUGCCUGGAGGAAAGAACUGACGACUUCGUCUUUGCCCUCAGCCAAACCGCCACAAGUAUCUUUGUCUGCCUGGCUCUCCUGGGGCCAUCACAGAGGGCUGGGGAUGCUGACAGCCAUAAACUCCAGGCG
This 585-nucleotide long non-coding RNA is filed under the name Pongo abelii (Sumatran orangutan). RNAcentral's name for it is "lincRNA". The record is from RNAcentral. Lineage: Eukaryota; Metazoa; Chordata; Mammalia; Primates; Hominidae.